AGCAAAGUAGUUUAAGAAGAAUAUUAGGUUGUGGUUCUGAUGGAGGAUAGUAUCCCUUUGUUU
Molecule: transfer RNA, 63 nt
Filed under: Unio crassus
Lineage: Eukaryota; Metazoa; Mollusca; Bivalvia; Unionida; Unionidae
Description: tRNA-His
Source: RNAcentral